This 253-nucleotide ribosomal RNA is filed under the name uncultured bacterium. Its description in RNAcentral is "partial 16S ribosomal RNA". It matches the Rfam family "Bacterial small subunit ribosomal RNA", at positions 524 to 776 of the family's 1533-position model. The record is from RNAcentral.
UACAUGGGGUGCAAACGUUGCUCGGAAUUAUUGGGCGUAAAGCGCGCGUAGGCGGUUAUCUAAGUCGGAUGUGAAAGCCCUCGGCUUAACUGAGGAAGUGCACCCGAAACUGGAUAGCUAGAGUACGAAAGAGGGUCGCGGAAUUCCCGGUGUAGAGGUGAAAUUCGUAGAUAUCGGGAGGAACACCGGUGGCGAAGGCGGCGACCUGGGUCGGGACUGACGCUGAGGCGCGAAAGCGUGGGGAGCAAACAGG